RNAcentral lists this unclassified non-coding RNA (501 nucleotides) under Hevea brasiliensis (rubber tree). Lineage: Eukaryota; Viridiplantae; Streptophyta; Magnoliopsida; Malpighiales; Euphorbiaceae. The record is from RNAcentral.
GAAAGAAGAAACAGAGUCAUCAAAAUUUGGGGAAAAUUCUUACAAGAGAAUCGAAUAGAUUUUGAUUUGAGGAAAAAAAGGGGUGGUGUUGAAGUGGAUUUGUGAUGGUAAGGAGUGUUUGGUUGUGAGUAAAAUUCGUUUUUUCUUUUUUGGGUUUUGGGUGGUUGGAGUAAAGAGCGAAAGAGAAGGAAAAUUGCAGGUAUGAAUAGAGGAGGAAUUGGAAUUGGAGGGCCAAUGCGAAAGUCUUUUAAGGACUCUCUUAAAGUUCUUGAAGCUGAUAUUCAGCAUGCUAAUACUCUGGCAUCUGACUUUCCCCGAGAGUACGAUGGGGCCUGCCUACAGAUGAGAAUGUCCUACAGUCCAGCAGCGCACCUGUUCCUUUUCUUAGUCCAGUGGACUGAUUGCCACCUUGCUGGUGCACUUGGAUUGUUGAGAAUUCUUAUUUACAAGGUUUAUGUUGAUGGCACCACAACCAUGUCAGUUCAUGAAAGGAAAGCAAGC